RNAcentral lists this long non-coding RNA (4325 nucleotides) under Chinchilla lanigera (long-tailed chinchilla). RNAcentral describes it as "lncRNA (ENSCLAG00000026405.1)". The record is from RNAcentral. Lineage: Eukaryota; Metazoa; Chordata; Mammalia; Rodentia; Chinchillidae.
GUCUUGGUGUAUGUGUAGGGGGUGAGCCCUUCCUAACCGUCUCCGCUGCCCUCACAGGCAGUGCUCAGGGAGACACUUGAGGAAGCAGGCAUGUUGCUUACUGAGAGAAGGUAGGAGUGCUGGCUGAGCUCAUGAUGUCAUCUUAGGUAGGGUUUUCCAAGGACUGGGAGGCAGCAAGGGACACAAGGAGGCCAUUGUGUCCUACUUGAUGUUAGCCAGGCAAUGGUGGACCUGCCCUGUGCCUAAAUCCACUGGGAGACAUUUAUCCCUGCCCCAUCACAGACCACCCAACCUGGGUGACCUGAAGCAAAGACCAUUUUAUUGUGCCCCAGGCUCCAUGGCAGAUCCUCAGGAAAGCAGAGUAUGGAGGCCCCAUAAUGGGUACUCUGGGAAGGCUGGGGAGUAGGAUGACACCGGGGUGGUUGGGUUUCAUGCAGUUAUCUCGAGGCUUCCUCAUCCUGGUGUGUGGCAGCCAGGCUGGGCGACCCCAAAGCUGGGCUUCACUGGGACUGUUCAUGCCGACCCUGCAUCUGACCUCUCCAGGUGAUUUGGGCUUCUUCAGAGGCUGGUAACAUCAGGGGUGAUGACCAUUUAUCAUGGUGACUCGCAGCCCCUAGAGAAGACAUUUGUAAAGACAAGGUAGAAGCUGAACAACUCUUUAUGAUAUCAGUUUAGAAGUCAUACCAUGUCACUCCACUGUGCUGGGUCAGAGCGGUCACCUCCCUGCCCAUGUUCUGAGGGAGGACAAAGACCUGGAUCUCAGCGGGGUGGACUGGGCUCAGCCUUCUGCGAUCUGCUAUAGGCCAGUGCUUGCAGAUAUGGAAGGCAGGACAUAUGGAGAGGGGACUCAUCACAGAUAAUGCCUUCAAAGGGAAUGAGAAACUUCAAUCUGUGCAGGGGGAUGAUGGUGUACUCCAUUCUCCUAGAGAACCUUGCUGCAUUGGCUUUCUUGAGUGGAACUCAGCUGUCUUCAUCAUCAGAGCAGAUCGGGGAGUUGCUGAGAAUGCUGUGGUACUUUUUCGGGGAUCUUUGGUUCUUAUUUUGAGCAUCGCUGCCUGGCUCCAGUGUAGAUUCCUCAGUCUGCUAGCACAACACUUUCAUUCUGCUGGCAAAGACUUUCUAGAUUGCCACACUGACCUUUGAGUCUUCUCAGCGCAGAUCUGUGAAGCAGGCUUGCAUGAGAUAUUGUUGUGGGCUCUGGGUCCCCAUUUGGAUUUGUGGGAGGCACUGUUAUGGGCUCUAGGUCUUCAGCUGGACUCAUGCAGGACAUUAUCAUGGGAUCCAGGCCCUCAGCUGGAUUCUGUGCUCCUUACUGUGUGGACAGAUUUCCUGCACUCUCUUGUAUGAUUCUUUGAGUGACUAUUAUAAAUAAUCUUAUAAAAUAUGUGUCCUAUAUUAUAUUGUUCCCCUUGAAAAUAUCCCCCAAUCCAACACACCACCCCUGGUGACAUCCUGAUCUCAGCCAGCACUGGUGUCUUCUCUCAGUUAGCAGCAUGUCUGGUUCCUUAGGUGGCCCCCUUGAGGACCACCCAUGAGGACUGAGAAGAGGGACAGGGAGGCCUCAUCCCACAUCCCCUCCAAAGACCCUGUGACCCCCACUUGAUGCUGUCAACAUGCAGGUCCCUGGGCAAAGCUGCAGGUCACAAAGUCACCAUGUCAACCUUCCCGUCCAUCAUAACUCCAGAGUAUUCUGCCCUAGGCUGAGGAAAAGGGCCUGGGGACAGCUAGUAAGUAGCAGGACAUCCAGAGCAGCAGUGUCUCCAGUCCCUGUGCUCUGACAGUGGACUGUUGUGGACACACUGGACAUUGGUGACCGGGCUCCAGAGGCUGUGGUCCCUGAGCACAGGCAAGGUGGUUGAGCAGGAGGCCCAAGGUAGCUGGUGCUUGACCUGCCUAGGCCCUGGGACAGCAUCUUAUGAACUAGGGAGUUCACAGGGAGAGCCAAGAAAGUGGAGAGGCACUGCCCCUGUGUAUCCUGCUCUAUGCUCUCCCUCAUGCUCUAGCUGGUGCUGUCUACACCACUUUCCAGAGCCCAUAGUUUCCUGUUCCCUGGCUGGGGCUGGGGAGCUUUCUACUUCUAUUACUCAAACUCUGCCAGUUUCCACAACUAUGGACGCCCACAGGUCAGGCUCUGGAACCAAAAUGAGGAUGUUCUGCAGUACUGAAAUGGCAUAUUUGAUAGUACUGCCUCAUUGACUCGUGCAUGGUCUUCCCAGGUGGGCCCAGUUGUCUCUGUCCCCUAAGUCACUACAGGAGGAUGUGGCACAAGAGGGUGUGAGCCUUUGCCAGAAGAAAGGCAAGACCAGUGUGCUGUGAGAUAGGAGAAUCCGGCCUCUGUGACCCUCUGAUUUCUGGAGGGGAACCAAAGGCCCAGCAAGGUGGUGAUCAUUUGCAUCCAGCAGACCACGGGAGCCUUUAUCGGCCAUUUUCUCUUCAGAGUGAGUUGAAGGAAAUGAGUGAGACCUUGUGUGCCAGAAUUCUCUCCUGGUGAUUUCUGAGGGCCACCUGUGCUAUUGGCUGUGAUUCCAACCUGGGCUGGUCCAAGCAGGGCCAGAGUGUGAGGAGAGGGUGGAAGAAGAGGGGGAAGCCAGAUGGAGGCCUCUGGGAGAAAGGCUUCUACCAGAGGAUGGGUGGGUCACUCUGUGCUUCUUAAAACACAGAUGGUAGCCUUGAGGAGGAUCAUUUGGAAGGGGAAGGAUGAGACCAGGUGGCAAUGCAAAGAGGAAGGGUCCUAGGCAGCGUGGGGAAGGCAGGUGGGAGCCUAGGAUAGGCUCAAAGAGGGGUGGUGGGAUUGGCCCAGGUAGCACCCACAGGCUGGAACUUGGGGGGUCAGGCAAGCUGAUGUCCACCCUCCAACCCUGAGGCUCUGGACAUGUUACCCUGCUGCAGGGGACAGCUACUGCAGCCCUCCCUGGGCAUCACGACCGUAGUAGCUUCUGAAACACACAAGCCAGGGCCUCUGCACUCAGAGAAGCCUCCCCAGCUCUGCCCUGAAGCAGUGUCAGCAGCACUUAGAUUACAAGCAGGAGAAUGUGUCCCCCACUGUCUCCACAAAAGCAAAGAAAGGGCUGUAUGGAGAGGCCACAGCACAGAUCCUUCUUGUCUCCCCUCUCCUGUCCUCUGCUGUCUGCCAGGGUCAGUGGAAGUUGUUGUUCACUGUAUUUAGGAAAUAAUGACAAGAAAAAUGCCUAUACAUGUACAGGGCAUAUGCAGUUUUUAAAAUAUUUCCAGUCCAUCUUUAGGUGAAUGGGUAGAUGGAGAAACCAGAGAUAUAGAACACAAUGGCGCUGUCCUCUGGCCGCCAAGGUUUCCAUGAGGGCUAUGCACAUCACAUCUGAUGAGCCUUCUUUCUUGCUGGGCAGACUGCCUCCUUAUCUCUGCCUGUCAACCAUUUGAUUAUACCAUGUCUUGGCAUAGGCUUCUUUGCCUCAUCCUACAUGGACAAAUUGGAAUUGCAGAUGAGUGUCAUUCAUGAAAUUUUGGAGUUGUUUGGAUACCAUCUUUAAGGAAUGUCUCUACUCCUUUCUCUCUUUUUGACUUCUGAGAUUCUUCCAUUGUCUAUAGAGUUCUGCUGGUCGUAUCCCACAAGCCUCUUAAAUAUUCAUCUCUCUUUCAUUUUUCAUUUCCUUGAAACUCAUGCUUUAAAUUAUGCCAUAUUCAAUUUGCUUAUUCUUUCUUCUACUGUCCACCUUUUCUGAAUCAGAGCUGGACACCUCCACAAAAUAAAUGAAUAGUUAUUUAUACUGAAAAAAAAAGAAACGGUAUCAUACACCUAUGGGGCACUUCAUCACCAGCAUUUCUGUUUGGUUCCUCGUUAAUGUUCUCACUUGUUGUUGUUAUCCUGACUUCUUCUAAUUUUUUACCCUUGUUUCCCCUCAGUCUUUGAGCAUCGUUAAAAUGGCUGCUUUAAAUCAGUACGUAGUAAAUCUGAAGACUUGACCUCCUCUGGAGUUGUCUCUGUCAAUGAAUGUAGUUCCCUUGAGAGAGACAUGUAUUCCUAUUUCCUUAUAUGCCUUGUGGAGGUUUAUUUAUUUAUUUAUUUAUUUAUUUAUUUUUUUAAAUUGGGUGUUUGAACAUUAUUAAACUGUAGCUAUAGAAAUCAAAUCCCCAGCAUGCUUUCCCAUGUUUUGUUUUGUUGGCCUGGUAGAUGUCUGUAUUCAUUCAUGUACUUUGAGACUUUUCCAGACAUCCUUUUUUUUGUGGGGGGUUUGAGACAGGGUCUCAUGAUGCUGUUCAAGGUUGACCUUGAGCUCACUUUGUAGCCCAGGCUGUUCUGGAGCUCACAAUGAUUCUCCUGCCUCAGCCUCCCAAAUACUGGAAUUACA